GAUGAACGCUGGCGGCGUGUCUAAUACAUGCAAGUCGAGCGAACGGACGAGGAGCUUGCUCCUCUGACGUUAGCGGCGGACGGGUGAGUAACACGUGGAUAACCUACCUAUAAGACUGGGAUAACUUCGGGAAACCGGAGCUAAUACCGGAUAAUAUAUUGAACCGCAUGGUUCAAUAGUGAAAGACGGUUUUGCUGUCACUUAUAGAUGGAUCCGCGCCGCAUUAGCUAGUUGGUAAGGUAACGGCUUACCAAGGCAACGAUGCGUAGCCGACCUGAGAGGGUGAUCGGCCACACUGGAACUGAGACACGGUCCAGACUCCUACGGGAGGCAGCAGUAGGGAAUCUUCCGCAAUGGGCGAAAGCUUGACGGAGCAACGCCGCGUGAGUGGUGAAGGUCUUCGGAUCGUAAAACUCUGUUAUUAGGGAAGAACAAAUGUGUAAGUAACUAUGCACGUCUUGACGGUACCUAAUCAGAAAGCCACGGCUAACUACGUG
Molecule: ribosomal RNA, 497 nt
Filed under: uncultured bacterium
Lineage: Bacteria
Description: partial 16S ribosomal RNA
Rfam family: Bacterial small subunit ribosomal RNA
Source: RNAcentral